This is a small nucleolar RNA of Lactuca sativa (garden lettuce), 107 nucleotides long. Lineage: Eukaryota; Viridiplantae; Streptophyta; Magnoliopsida; Asterales; Asteraceae. The record is from RefSeq and is a predicted model, not a curated record.
AGGUCAUUAUGAUGGUAGUUCUUCAAAAAGCCUUUGUAUCUUUCCCAUGCCUCAUAGAGUGACUCAACUCCUUUUUGUUUGAAGUUUUCAAUGGCUUUCUUUAACUU